GCCCUACGGGGGGCAGCAGUGGGGAAUAUUGCACAAGGGGGGAAACCCUGAUGCAGCGACGCCGCGUGAGUGAAGAAGUAUUUCGGUAUGUAAAGCUCUGUCAGCAGGGAAGAAAAUGACGGUACCUGACCAAGAAGCCCCGGCUAACUCCGUGCCAGCAGCCGCGGUAAUACGGAGGGUGCGAGCGUUAAUCGGAAUUACUGGGCGUAAAGCGCACGUAGGCUGUAUGACAAGUCAAGGUUGAAAUGCCACGGCUCAACCGUGGAACUGCCUUUGAAACUGUCAACCUGGAGUAUGUGAGAGGG
RNAcentral lists this ribosomal RNA (305 nucleotides) under uncultured bacterium. RNAcentral describes it as "bacterial SSU rRNA". It matches the Rfam family "Bacterial small subunit ribosomal RNA", at positions 335 to 658 of the family's 1533-position model. The record is from RNAcentral.